CGAGCGGAGCCGMCCGGCGGGGCGGGGGAGCCAGCGGCUGCCCGUGCAGGGCGGCGGGUGGCGGCCUGGGGUGUUGCUCCCCGGCAGGGCAGGACCGGUUUCAGAACAUGAAAGAAAAUGCAAUUAAAUGCAUUAUUACAGAGUUGUCUGCCACACCCAUUCUUGCUUUCUAGUAUGUGGGAGUACGUUAGGAAUGUUGAUCCUUGUGCAUUUAUCACCUCAGCAGCACUCUGGAGAAAUCUGUAUUUGUUAAGAUAACCUGGUAAAACUUCUGGACACAACAUUCAGCUGAGAAUAAUAGCAGGCAUAGGAAGA
RNAcentral lists this long non-coding RNA (315 nucleotides) under Dromaius novaehollandiae (emu). Its description in RNAcentral is "lncRNA (ENSDNVG00000017816.1)". Lineage: Eukaryota; Metazoa; Chordata; Aves; Casuariiformes; Dromaiidae. The record is from RNAcentral.